UACGUAGGGAGCAAGCGUUGUCCGGAAUCAUUGGGCGUAAAGCGCGCGUAGGCGGCCCCGUAAGUCCGCUGUGAAAGUCAAAGGCUCAACCUUUGAAAGCCGGUGGAUACUGUGGGGCUAGAAUCCGGAAGAGGCGAGUGGAAUUCCUGGUGUAGCGGUGGAAUGCGCAGAUAUCAGGAGGAACACCAAUAGCGAAGGCAGCUCGCUGGGACGGUACUGACGCUAAGGCGCGAAAGCGUGGGGAGCGAACAGG
Molecule: ribosomal RNA, 253 nt
Filed under: uncultured bacterium
Lineage: Bacteria
Description: partial 16S ribosomal RNA
Rfam family: Bacterial small subunit ribosomal RNA
Source: RNAcentral